CUCCUCCCCACGCUUACCGCAGGCAGCCGCCCCUCCCGGCUGCCUGUACAGAACGGGGAGGCAGAGCAUCGCCUCGAUACACCCCGGCCUGGGAGAUGGUGCCCUGGCUGGAUUGUGAGCGGGGGGACACGG
This 132-nucleotide small nucleolar RNA is filed under the name Apteryx rowi (Okarito brown kiwi). RNAcentral describes it as "Small nucleolar RNA SNORA51 (ENSARWG00000005239.1)". It matches the Rfam family "Small nucleolar RNA SNORA51". Rfam says of the family: ACA51 is a member of the H/ACA class of snoRNA that guide the sites of modification of uridines to pseudouridines. Lineage: Eukaryota; Metazoa; Chordata; Aves; Apterygiformes; Apterygidae. The record is from RNAcentral.